This 520-nucleotide ribosomal RNA is filed under the name uncultured Glomeromycotina. RNAcentral describes it as "SSU rRNA". It matches the Rfam family "Eukaryotic small subunit ribosomal RNA", at positions 569 to 1093 of the family's 1831-position model. The record is from RNAcentral. Lineage: Eukaryota; Fungi; Glomeromycota.
AGCAGCCGCGGUAAUUCCAGCUCCAAUAGCGUAUAUUAAAGUUGUUGCAGUUAAAAAGCUCGUAGUUGAAUUUCGGGGUUCUUCCGUUGGUCGGGCUAUCCAGUCUGUACUAGCGUGUAGAAUUCCUACCUUCUGGGGAACCAUCAUGUUAUUAAUUUAGCGUGGUGGGAAACCAGGACCUUUACCUUGAAGAAAUUAGAGUGUUCAAAGCAGGCUUACGUCUGAAUACAUUAGCAUGGAAUAAUAGAAUAGGACGGUGGUCCUGUUUUGUUGGUUUCUGAAUCACCGUAAUGAUUAAUAGGGAUAGUUGGGGGCAUUAGUAUUCAAUUGUCAGAGGUGAAAUUCUUGGAUUUAUUGAAGACUAACUUCUGCGAAAGCAUUUGCCAAGGAUGUUUUCAUUAAUCAAGAACGAAAGUUAGGGGAUCGAAGACGAUCAGAUACCGUCGUAGUCUUAACCAUAAACUAUGCCGACUAGGGAUCGGACGAUGUUAAAUUUAUUGACUCGUUCGGCGCCUUACGG